Long non-coding RNA from Lytechinus variegatus (green sea urchin), 344 nucleotides. RefSeq lists it as uncharacterized. NCBI's taxonomy places the organism in Eukaryota, Metazoa, Echinodermata, Echinoidea, Temnopleuroida, Toxopneustidae. The transcript is spliced from 3 exons. The record is from RefSeq and is a predicted model, not a curated record.
CUCCAUGUCGCGUUAGUUCUCUGUAUCGAUUGGCCAUUUUGUUUUCAAUUUUGAAAGAAGGAGAACAAAUGUGACAGAACUUUUCCCUUUAAUGAGGGUUCAGUUUGUGCCUCGAUGUCAGGAUUCUGUGUCACGAUAGGCCUCCAUCCAUCAUGUCCAUGUAAUCGAGAAAUUGGACCCCAAUGGAAAGCCCACCUUGUCAGCACAUCCUGCCCGGUUUUCUCCAGACGACAAGUACUCUAAACAGAGGGUGACAAUAAAGAAGCGUUUCGGACAGCUCCUGACUCAAACUCCAACCCCAGUGUACUAACGACCUCCCCUGCUGCUUACGAGACUUUCCAGGA